CGACGAUCUGUAACUGGUCUGAGAGGAUGAUCAGUCACACCGGAACUGAGACACGGUCCGGACUCCUACGGGAGGCAGCAGUGGGGAAUAUUGGACAAUGGGGGCAACCCUGAUCCAGCCAUGCCGCGUGUGUGAAGAAGGCCUUUUGGUUGUAAAGCACUUUAAGCAGGGAGGAGAGGCUAAUGGUUAAUACCCAUUAGAUUAGACGUUACCUGCAGAAUAAGCACCGGCUAACUCUGUGCCAGCAGCCGCGGUAAUACAGAGGGUGCGAGCGUUAAUCGGAAUUACUGGGCGUAAAGCGAGUGUAGGUGGCUCAUUAAGUCACAUGUGAAAUCCCCGGGCUUAACCUGGGAACUGCAUGUGAUACUGGUGGUGCUAGAAUAUGUGAGAGGGAAGUAGAAUUCCAGGUGUAGCGGUGAAAUGCGUAGAGAUCUGGAGGAAUACCGAUGGCGAAGGCAGCUUCCUGGCAUAAUAUUGACACUGAGAUUCGAAAGCGUGGGUAGCAAACAGGAUUAGAUACCCUGGUAGUCCACGCCGUAAACGAUGUCUACUAGCCGUU
This 559-nucleotide ribosomal RNA is filed under the name Enhydrobacter sp. MUU14. Its description in RNAcentral is "bacterial SSU rRNA". It matches the Rfam family "Bacterial small subunit ribosomal RNA", at positions 274 to 824 of the family's 1533-position model. The record is from RNAcentral. Lineage: Bacteria; Pseudomonadati; Pseudomonadota; Alphaproteobacteria; Hyphomicrobiales.